Molecule: RNA transcript, 3466 nt
Organism: Eucalyptus grandis
Lineage: Eukaryota; Viridiplantae; Streptophyta; Magnoliopsida; Myrtales; Myrtaceae
Exons: 8
Source: RefSeq, a predicted model, not a curated record
UGGAAAACUUAAUUCUGUCGGGGAACAAUAUUACUAGUCUCCCUAUAUCCAUUAGUAAGCGUGAUCGUUUGGUUGAAUUGUCAAUUAGUUAUUGCCAUCAAUUACAAGAGAUUCCCAAGCUUCCGCCAUUUUUAAAUUUACUGCUCGCGAAUGGGUGCGAAUCUCUACAAACAAAUGGACAUUUAACUUCAAUUGAUCAGUGGGUCCAUCGAGGAUUGACCAUGGUUGACACUGCUUUAAUUGCCAAGAGAUUUCCUUGCACUACUUUUGUUCUCCCUAAAGGAGAGAUGCCAAAGUGGCUUCAACCAGUUGAAGAUGGUUUUGUAUCUUUCAUGGCUUCAAAGGACUUAUAUGACAAGUUUCUUGGAUUGAUUUUCUACGGCGUAUGUAACAAUGAAGGCGAUUAUUGCAAUCUUUGCUUUCACCCAUAUUUUAAUGGCAAACACUACGGUAGCUACAUAACAGGGGUCUACAGAUCGGAUCCAGGUGGCAUCCUCAUAAACUAUUUUGCACCAUCUGACUUAUGGAGAGCAGUCCAUUUUGAUCAAAUUGAUGGGAGUUAUGCACAAUUCAACCUUAAAUUAGAGAGCAUGGGUCAGGGCGUGAAAAAGUGGGGAAUUCGAAUAAUAUGCAAGCAAUUAGAGGACGAUUUAAAAGCUACGCUCCGAGACAAUAAGUUAAUUGAUCCAGCUUUCCUUUACGAGAUUGGUCAUGACUCAACAGAUCCAGAAGUCGAGAGUUCACAUGUGCAUGGAGACAACCCAAUCGAAAUGGAUCAGCUAAAACACUUGCAAGAGAGUUCACAUAUGCUCGAAAACAGACUGAUCGAAUUUGAUCUAGAUUGUCCACCGAGUUCUUACAAGCAUGGUAAAGCCAUAGACAUGAGAGAUCGCGAGACUUUUUGUCCUGGAUGCUUUCUUCCUGGAGACCCGCGCAGCCUGGGGAACAAAAAGUACAAGCUUUGGUUGGAAGAAUAUGGAGACUUUCUAAGGAUGUAAUUCGUCCGUUCUUCCUUUUGGCUAAAUCCUCUUUUCUCCGCCCUACCCAAACUUCUAGCUCCAUCAUCUUCCGUCGGACACUGGCGAUCUCUGACAAAUGCAAGAUCGCCGCUUGGCAAGCGGAGGCGACCCACAGAAGAAGUCCUUAGCGAACCGACGGGCGACGGGGGCCAACGAGCGGAGGCGAUGGACUACCGCCGCUGCCGACCGACGCCAUGGGAACCGGUGGCGUAGCUUCUUCAGGGGAACGAUUCUCUCCUGAGGUUCCUGGCUUCGUGCGGCUUGCUAUAUAGAUCGGGUAACACCUGGCACAUCCAGAUUGUAUCGAGUCGAUGCAAUACUUGAGCUGGAUUUUGAAUUCGAUUCGUUUGGUGCUGGAGUUGCGCGGGAACAUGAAGAAUGCGUCGUUGAAUUUGUUUGGGAGGCGCUGAAUGAGUGUUCUCUUCGGAAGUUUAGUCUGUGGAUGCUUGGUAGUGAAUUCAAUGGUAAGCGACGGUGCACGCUGCAAAAUCAGGGACAAUCCCUAGAAGGCGAAACUUGCUUUGGACAGCCUUGAAGUUCCAGCUGGGUAAGAAACUGGUUUUUGGUAAACAGGUGCAUUUCAGAUAUUUUACGUUAUUUGCCAAUUACGAUGAUUGGUAUUUCAGUCUUAAUUGGUGAAUGAUUUCAGAUUGUGCUUUAUUUGUGUAAUAUUUUGAUUGAACAACUGUGUGAUUGUUGAGGAUGGGAACUUUAUUGCAGCAAGAAGAAACCCGGCUAGUGAGACACAAAAUGUAUGAUUAUCGGUAUUUCCCACCCUUUCUUUAAGUUUUGGCCAAGCAGCACUUUGUUAUUGCUCGGAUCGAUACCCUCAAAUUAUCCACUCGUAGUUUAUUGUUGAUCAUUUCAUGUUUCUCUCUUAAGUAUUUCUCUAAUAGAUGAUAAAACAUAUAUUGGACCAAAUCUGUUAAUGAGUGGAUUUCUUUAUGCAUUAUUAGGCUAUAAGGGGUGAUGUUCCCAUUAAUCUUUCAUAAAAUAUACUGCUAACAAGUAACAAUAACUAAAAUCUUGCUUUAUUAUGCCUAAUGUUUCAUGCUUUUCAUUUGCCAUUUUUCUCUGUCUGGAACAAUAUUACAGUCUUUAUUUGAUUUUGUGAAGUUCCUACCAUUGUUUUUGUAGACCUUAUGUCAGCUAGACUAUAGGUAUACUUAUUUGGUAUAAAAAUGCGCUGUGAGCAUUGUAUUGCCUUUUGAGAUGUAAGAACCUGCUCCUUGGGACAUUUCUUCAUACAAUGACCAUAUUUACACAUAGUUUAAGCCUGGUUUCUGGUAAAGAUCAUCUCUUAUGUAAUAGUCUAUUGCUGUAAUCUUUGAUAGUUAUGUGGUGACGGUACACUGCUAUAAAUGGCUUUGUGGACAGUAAUGAAUAGUUGAUGCGAAGAUUAUCUGGCCCUUUUAGUAUCUUGUGGAGCAUAAUAAGAAAAAAGAGGUUCCUUGCUACAGGGGUAUAUAUGAAAAUACUGUUAGAAAAGUUGGAGGUGGCCAAUCCAAUAAAAAGCCUCUUUUUCCAUGUAAGAUUUGCAGCAACUUCAAGCAAGCAAAACUUGUUGAAUUCACGUAGUGUAUGCCUUGAUCAAUCUCAUAUAUACUUUCGAUCAGUUAGCUUAAAGGAGAACACAUUUCUUAUGGACUGCAUUUUCUGAAUUUAUGUUGAAACUAUGCUAAGGGCAAUUGUCUCUCUGACAAAGCUCCUAAGUUUGAUAUGGUUGCGUUGUUUUCUCCUUGUUCUUUCAAAGGCAACAAGACAUGCAGAGAUGGAAGCUCUUGAUAUUGUUCUUGAAUAGUGGCAAAGGACUGGAUUAUUGGCUGCAGAAGUUGCGGAGAAGUUUUCAGUAUGCUCUCUAUAUGGGACAUGUGAACCGUGCACAAUGAAAAUAAAUGGAGUAAUGGGAAUUCUGGAUCAAAGGGUUUCAAACGAUGUGGAGGUAUAAUGGCAUCAGAAGCAAUUUCUCUUCUGUGAGAUUUUUAUGAACAAGGAAACUCUAAUGAUAAAUAAAGCUGGCCCAGUGGAAUGUCAUGUAAUGACAAAGGGUUAAUGAAAUUGCAAGCAUCCAUCAAGUAGAAGGUGUUUAUUUUGAGAUGCUCCAAAGCCUCAGGUCACGAUGGGUAAAUCAUGCUUCUCAUUGGAUAUGCCUGCAUUGAUUCAUCCUGUUGAACACUCUCAUGCCUUUGCACAAUUAGAAUUUCAUCAAGGAAUCUGAGGAAGGAAGUGUGAUGCAUGUCCAGAUCAGAUGUUCGUCCAGAUGUUCGUGUGUUUACGGAGGGUUGCAGAUGUGAUCACAAGCGAUUUCAUGCUUGAACAUGAUUGUCAGAUUGUUUAGAUAAUUUUACGGCAUAAACCUGUGUAGGCAUCAGUUUUGUGAGGUUAAUUUUUGUCAUCUAUAUAUUCUGUGAUGGAGUUUGAUUUGAGUUUUUCUAACUUUGAAAUAA